This 249-nucleotide unclassified non-coding RNA is filed under the name plant metagenome. RNAcentral's name for it is "partial contains small subunit ribosomal RNA, internal transcribed spacer 1, and 5.8S ribosomal RNA". The stretch from base 201 to 249 matches the Rfam family "5.8S ribosomal RNA", at positions 1 to 49 of the family's 154-position model. The record is from RNAcentral.
UCUCCGUAGGUGAACCUGCGGAGGGAUCAUUACAGAGUUCAUGCCCUACCGGGUAGAUCUCCCACUCUAUGUUAUUAUUACUUUGUCGCUUUGGCGGGCCGUUAGGCUCCGGCCCGACUACCGGCCCCGGCUGGUAAGCGCCCGCCAGAGGACCCAAAACCCUGAAUAUUAGUGUCGUCUGAGUACUAUAUAAUAGUUAAAACUUUCAACAACGGAUCUCUUGGUUCUGGCAUCGAUGAAGAACGUAGC